This 112-nucleotide ribosomal RNA is filed under the name Neogale vison (American mink). Lineage: Eukaryota; Metazoa; Chordata; Mammalia; Carnivora; Mustelidae. The record is from RNAcentral.
GUCUACGGCCAUACCACCCUGAACGCGCCCGAUCUCGUCUGAUCUCGGAAGCUAAGCAGGGUCGGGCCUGGUUAGUACUUGGAUGGGAGAUAUGAAUCCUAAUACAUAGAUG